UUUAAAUAAAUUAUUAGUAUAUAAUAAAUUUUUUAUAAUGCCACUAAAAUAUUGCACAAUACAUUUGGGCACCUUACAGAGUGUAAGGAAAAACUAAUAGAUUUCUUAAUGCAACACGGUAUUUUGGAAAAUACAGUUAAGUGUACUCAAUGUAGUAGUGAUGUAAAUAUCAAUAAAGAAACGCUAAUGUAUCGAUGUCAAAAAUGAUACACUGUUAAGGACAAAUUUAUAUAACGCAUUAGCAAGCCGUGCUAGUGCUGGGUUGUUCGGUACUAGUUGCAGGCUUUUGCUCGGCUUUGGUUGCAGGCUCGCAGGUGGACAUCGGAGGAUACAUCUCAGCGAUGACAUCAAAAAAGGCUUCGACGCGUUCCAGUCUACAGGCGCGUUUGAAAAGAUAUUUGGAUAAAUAUCCCUCAAAAUGUUCAGAUUUUCUUCCAAACUUUGAGAUAUUUCCCCGAAUCUCUCCCCAAACACGCUCUAUAUGCUAGGUAUGAGCACCUGUAAAUAUAAAAAUGUAUUAAAAUAUAAAAUACAAAAAUAUUAAUAUAAUAUACUUAAGCAAAAAUUAACGGUAGAUAUAUUUUAAAUAUUUCUUACCCGUUUGAGGAUCGAUAAAGUUAUACGAGUGGUUUACUGUCAGAUGUUGGAAGCCUUCAUGUUGUAAACAAUCAUAAGACUUCCAACAAUCUGACACGAUGGUGGUUCCUGGUAAAACCCACUCUUUUAUACACUUUAAAAGUGUGUCCGUUGUGCAAUCCUCCACUGGAACGACGAAAAUCUUUUUUGUGUCUCGCUCGUAUCCUCCGAAAAUCCAUUGGCCUUUGACGAGUCAACCACGAUUGUACUUACGCCGGCCAAGUUUUGCCUCGUCGAUUUCUACAAUGCGUCCUGGGCCACCAAGCUUCUCGCUAUGCUUAUCAGCCCAGAACACACAAACCUGUUUCGACACGCCAGUUUCUUCCUGCGAGUCAUCUUGACGUGGAUGUCGCAGCAUUAGAAAACAUGCAACAAUUUUACAGACAGUAACCACGUCAACAUUACUGCGAUCAAACCAACUGCCUGCUUUCCUACUUUUAUUAAAUGUACAGCACUUGCUUAAACGUUUUUUAUGUUUGUCCUUAACAGUGUAUCGUUUUUGACAUCGAUAUAGUAGCGUUUCUUUAUUAAUAUUUACAUCACUGCCACAUUGACUACACUUAACUAUAUUUUUCAAAAUACCGUGUUGGAUUAAAAAAUCUAUUAAUUUUUUCUUACACUCUGUAAGGUGUCCAAAUUGAAACAAUGUUAGUGGCAUCUUAGAUGUGCCAGGCACGUGCAGGCACUAACUACUGUUUAUUGACUGGAUGUUGUAUUUCAUUUGUUUCUACGUUAAAUUUACGUUCAAAUUUCGUGCACAUUUCUACCACAAAGUUACUAAAACGCAUGCGCAUGCGGUCACCAGCAUGCAAACGUGACCACAGCGCAUGCUCAGUUCGCUACAUAACGCCAAGAUGACAGGUAUCUUAACCUGUGCAAUCGCCAACUUUAACGCUUGAUAUCUCGGUUCGCGGGCAAGAGCAACACUUUUUCUUGCCAGAUUCUUUUAUUUUGAUCGAAAACGCGACAAAUGAGUCUAAUUUUGUCAAAAUAGGAGGUGCAGUGGGUAUUCUUAACAAUUACCAAAUAUUAAUAUUAUUUAUUAAUACAUAACAUUACGUGUUCGUGUGUAUACACAUACAUACAUUAAUGUAUUAUAAUAAUAUAUAAAAUUAAAUAGAUUUUACAGGAAAAAGUUGUAAAUUUUAAGUAGAUAGAUCCCAGAAAACACGUAUGUCUGAUAUUGAAGGGAGAGGCUGGUCUGAUUCUCACAAAUGCUUGCUGGAGUAAGUGUUUUAUUCUUAAGUGUGCACGCUUACAUGUCUGAGGCGGAACUGCUUGCUCUUUGUCUUUGAGUAACUACAUACACUCUUGCAUUCUCAAAGGCACUGAGUCUCACGCAGGACUCAUGUAGCGUCAUCCUUCCGAACGGAUCCAAAAUCUAGGGAAUCAUACGCGCACACAACUACCAAAAACGACAUUUGCAUUCAAAUUAUAACAAAGACGUCUAAAAAACGUUUCACUUUCUGACGUCUUUUAGACCUGUCGAAAAGACGUUAUUUUUGUCUUUAGGAUAUGUUAUUGAAUGAUAUUCGUUUUGAUAGCUUUAAAUGAAUUUUUUUUUUUCGUUACAAAAUUCAGCCAUUCGGUGUGUGUAUUUCUUUUCUGUGUGUCUGUGUGUGUAUGUGUGUGUGUGUGUGUGCGCGCGUGUGUGUGUGUUGCCACGCCAUUUCUCGACAGCGUUACAUCGCUGCUCUAAAUGCGCUAAGUCGCGAAGCUUCAAAAUCUACACAAUAUACCGCACGGCUUGAUAGGAUUGUGCUAUCAAAUUUACUUUAAAUAUUAUAAUGCAUAUACUAGGUUAUCUGUUACACAAUUUUAAACUAAGUAAUACUGACCAUGAUAGGCACCUGUCUGUGUUGUUGCUAUAAUGUUACCGAAAACAAAGAGCAUUAGUUUUCAGCAAAUUUAGAACAAGGUGUGUGCCUCAUUUGUCUUUGGUUUAACAUCAUAUGAAUUCAGCACGUUUUGCUGCCAAUAUGCUGCGUAUUUGCUGUCAACGGUUGCUAUAUAUAAAGAGCAACAUGAGAGCAAGUUGCCAACAACAUGUACUGAGUGAUAAAUUUCACCAAAAAUUCAACAACAUGUCGAAAACGGUUAAAUAUAUGUUUUGUACUCUUUUUUUCAAAUAUAU
Long non-coding RNA from Solenopsis invicta (red fire ant), 2770 nucleotides. RefSeq lists it as uncharacterized. The transcript has 2 exons. Lineage: Eukaryota; Metazoa; Arthropoda; Insecta; Hymenoptera; Formicidae. The record is from RefSeq and is a predicted model, not a curated record.